This 253-nucleotide ribosomal RNA is filed under the name uncultured bacterium. RNAcentral describes it as "partial 16S ribosomal RNA". It matches the Rfam family "Bacterial small subunit ribosomal RNA", at positions 524 to 776 of the family's 1533-position model. The record is from RNAcentral.
UACAGAGGGUGCAAGCGUUAAUCGGAAUUACUGGGCGUAAAGCGUGCGCAGGCGGCUUUGCAAGACAGAUGUGAAAUCCCCGGGCUCAACCUGGGAACUGCAUUUGUGACUGCAAGGCUAGAGUACGGCAGAGGGGGAUGGAAUUCCGCGUGUAGCAGUGAAAUGCGUAGAUAUGCGGAGGAACACCAAUGGCGAAGGCAAUCCCCUGGACCUGUACUGACGCUCAUGCACGAAAGCGUGGGGAGCAAACAGG